This 1538-nucleotide unclassified non-coding RNA is filed under the name uncultured fungus. Its description in RNAcentral is "sequence contains 18S rRNA gene, ITS1, 5.8S rRNA gene, ITS2, 28S rRNA gene". The stretch from base 587 to 1538 matches the Rfam family "Eukaryotic large subunit ribosomal RNA", at positions 1 to 961 of the family's 3401-position model. The record is from RNAcentral. Lineage: Eukaryota; Fungi.
GGAAGGAUCAUUAUUGAAUGAACAUGGAGUCGGUUGUCGCUGGCCCCUUUACCGGGGCAUGUGCACGCCUUCUCUAUUCAUCCACACACACCUGUGAACUUGUGAGACGGAUAGUAGUCCUCUAGGGGGCGAGGUCCGUCUGCUAAUACAUAAACUCCAAUAAUAUAAAUCUGAAUGUCAUUUGAUGUAACGCAUCUAUAAACUAAGUUUCAACAACGGAUCUCUUGGCUCUCGCAUCGAUGAAGAACGCAGCGAAAUGCGAUAAGUAAUGUGAAUUGCAGAAUUCAGUGAAUCAUCGAAUCUUUGAACGCACCUUGCGCUCCUUGGUAUUCCUCGGAGCAUGCCUGUUUGAGUAUCAUGAAAUCCUCAAAAUAAAUCUUUUGUUCAUUCGAUUGAUUUUAUUUUGGACUUGGAGGUCUGCAGAUUCACGUCUGCUCCUCUUAAAUUCAUUAGCUGGAUCUCGAUGAGCUCGGUUCCACUCGGCGUGAUAAGUAUCACUCGCUGAGGACACUGUAAAAGGUGGCCGGGAUUAUUUAAAGAACCGCUUCUAAUAGUCUAUUAGCUUAGACAAAUUUUAUUUAUGAUCUGAUCUCAAAUCAGGUAGGACUACCCGCUGAACUUAAGCAUAUCAAUAAGCGGAGGAAAAGAAACUAACAAGGAUUCCCCUAGUAACGGCGAGUGAAGCGGGAAGAGCUCAAAUUUAAAAUCUGGCGGGUAACCGUCCGAGUUGUAGUCUAGAGAAGCAUCAUCUACGCUGGACCAUGUACAAGUCUCUUGGAACAGAGCGUCAUAGAGGGUGAGAAUCCCGUCCUUGACAUGGACUCCCAGUGUUCUGUGUUGUGCUCUCAACGAGUCGAGUUGUUUGGGAAUGCAGCUCAAAAUGGGUGGUAAAUUCCAUCUAAAGCUAAAUAUUGGCGAGAGACCGAUAGCGAACAAGUACCGUGAGGGAAAGAUGAAAAGCACUUUGGAGAGAGAGUUAAACAGUACGUGAAAUUGUUGAAAUGGAAACGCUUGAAGUCAGUCGCGUUCGCUGGGAUUCAGCCUUGCUUUUGCUUGGUGCAUUUCCUAGUCUUACGGGCCAGCAUGGAUUUUGACCGUCGGAAAAGGGCUGGGGGAAUGUGGCACCUUCGGGUGUGUUAUAGCCCCUUGUCGCAUGCGUCGGUUGGGAUCGAGGACCUCAGUGCACGCUUCGGUUGUGCUUUGAUGCUGGCGUAAUGGCUUUAAACGACCCGUCUUGAAACACGGACCAAGGAGUCUAACAUGUCUGCGAGUGUUUGGGUGAAAAACUCGGACGCGCAAUGAAAGUGAUAGUUGGGAACCUUUCACGAGGGGCACCGACGCCCGGACCAGACCUUCUGUGACGGAUCCGAGGUAGAGCAUAUAUGUUGGGACCCGAAAGAUGGUGAACUAUGCCUGCAUAGGGUGAAGCCAGAGGAAACUCUGGUGGAGGCUCGUAGCGAUUCUGACGUGCAAAUCGAUCGUCAAAUGUGGGUAUAGGGGCGAAAGACUAAUCGAACCAUCUAGUAGCUGGUUCCUGC